UACGGAGGAUGCAAGCGUUAUCCGGAUUUAUUGGGUUUAAAGGGUGCGCAGGUUGUUUGAUAAGUCAGUGGUGAAAGUCUGUCGCUUAACGGUAGGAUUGCCAUUGAUACUGUUGGACUUGAAUAUGGAUGAGGCAGGCGGAAUGUGUAGUGUAGCGGUGAAAUGCAUAGAUAUUACACAGAACACCGAUUGCGAAGGCAGCUUACUAAUCCAUCAUUGACGCUGAGGCACGAAAGCGUGGGGAUCAAACA
Molecule: ribosomal RNA, 251 nt
Filed under: uncultured prokaryote
Description: partial 16S ribosomal RNA
Rfam family: Bacterial small subunit ribosomal RNA
Source: RNAcentral